RNAcentral lists this ribosomal RNA (555 nucleotides) under Pseudomonas savastanoi. RNAcentral's name for it is "bacterial SSU rRNA". It matches the Rfam family "Bacterial small subunit ribosomal RNA", at positions 164 to 714 of the family's 1533-position model. Lineage: Bacteria; Pseudomonadati; Pseudomonadota; Gammaproteobacteria; Pseudomonadales; Pseudomonadaceae. The record is from RNAcentral.
UAAUACCGCAUACGUCCUACGGGAGAAAGCAGGGGACCUUCGGGCCUUGCGCUAUCAGAUGAGCCUAGGUCGGAUUAGCUAGUUGGUGGGGUAAUGGCUCACCAAGGCGACGAUCCGUAACUGGUCUGAGAGGAUGAUCAGUCACACUGGAACUGAGACACGGUCCAGACUCCUACGGGAGGCAGCAGUGGGGAAUAUUGGACAAUGGGCGAAAGCCUGAUCCAGCCAUGCCGCGUGUGUGAAGAAGGUCUUCGGAUUGUAAAGCACUUUAAGUUGGGAGGAAGGGCAGUAAGUUAAUACCUUGCUGUUUUGACGUUACCGACAGAAUAAGCACCGGCUAACUCUGUGCCAGCAGCCGCGGUAAUACAGAGGGUGCAAGCGUUAAUCGGAAUUACUGGGCGUAAAGCGCGCGUAGGUGGUUCGUUAAGUUGGAUGUGAAAGCCCCGGGCUCAACCUGGGAACUGCAUCCAAAACUGGCGAGCUAGAGUACGGUAGAGGGUGGUGGAAUUUCCUGUGUAGCGGUGAAAUGCGUAGAUAUAGGAAGGAACACCAGUG